RNAcentral lists this ribosomal RNA (1092 nucleotides) under Enterobacter sp. NCCP-608. Its description in RNAcentral is "bacterial SSU rRNA". It matches the Rfam family "Bacterial small subunit ribosomal RNA", at positions 66 to 1150 of the family's 1533-position model. The record is from RNAcentral. Lineage: Bacteria; Pseudomonadati; Pseudomonadota; Gammaproteobacteria; Enterobacterales; Enterobacteriaceae.
GCGGUAGCACAGAGAGCUUGCUCUCGGGUGACGAGCGGCGGACGGGUGAGUAAUGUCUGGGAAACUGCCUGAUGGAGGGGGAUAACUACUGGAAACGGUAGCUAAUACCGCAUAACGUCGCAAGACCAAAGUGGGGGACCUUCGGGCCUCAUGCCAUCAGAUGUGCCCAGAUGGGAUUAGCUAGUAGGUGGGGUAAUGGCUCACCUAGGCGACGAUCCCUAGCUGGUCUGAGAGGAUGACCAGCCACACUGGAACUGAGACACGGUCCAGACUCCUACGGGAGGCAGCAGUGGGGAAUAUUGCACAAUGGGCGCAAGCCUGAUGCAGCCAUGCCGCGUGUAUGAAGAAGGCCUUCGGGUUGUAAAGUACUUUCAGCGAGGAGGAAGGCACUGAGGUUAAUAACCUCAGUGAUUGACGUUACUCGCAGAAGAAGCACCGGCUAACUCCGUGCCAGCAGCCGCGGUAAUACGGAGGGUGCAAGCGUUAAUCGGAAUUACUGGGCGUAAAGCGCACGCAGGCGGUCUGUCAAGUCGGAUGUGAAAUCCCCGGGCUCAACCUGGGAACUGCAUUCGAAACUGGCAGGCUAGAGUCUUGUAGAGGGGGGUAGAAUUCCAGGUGUAGCGGUGAAAUGCGUAGAGAUCUGGAGGAAUACCGGUGGCGAAGGCGGCCCCCUGGACAAAGACUGACGCUCAGGUGCGAAAGCGUGGGGAGCAAACAGGAUUAGAUACCCUGGUAGUCCACGCCGUAAACGAUGUCGACUUGGAGGUUGUGCCCUUGAGGCGUGGCUUCCGGAGCUAACGCGUUAAGUCGACCGCCUGGGGAGUACGGCCGCAAGGUUAAAACUCAAAUGAAUUGACGGGGGCCCGCACAAGCGGUGGAGCAUGUGGUUUAAUUCGAUGCAACGCGAAGAACCUUACCUACUCUUGACAUCCAGAGAACUUAGCAGAGAUGCUUUGGUGCCUUCGGGAACUCUGAGACAGGUGCUGCAUGGCUGUCGUCAGCUCGUGUUGUGAAAUGUUGGGUUAAGUCCCGCAACGAGCGCAACCCUUAUCCUUUGUUGCCAGCGGUCCGGCCGGGAACUCAAAGGAGACU